GAUAGCCUAGUAUGUAUUAUUUGUAUUAUAGUUUUAAUAAUUUAUAUUAAUCUACAUUAUUAUAUAUAUUAUUCGAAAUAUAUUCACAUUUGCAGAGAAGAACGAACCCAACACUGAACACGGUGUAAGAGUCUGAGAAUGAAGUCACUUACGAACUGGAUCCGACAACUGGUGAAUUAGUACUUAUACAGUCGAACCUACCUCAGGCAGAUCCGUCGUGUUCCACGGAAGUUGGAAAAAGAAGUCAUGGGGAUAGGACCUCGCCUGAGCCAGUACCAAAGAAGAUAAAAAAAAAUAUGACAGCCUACGAAGCAGCCAUGCUCGAAUUGCAAAUGAAAAAAAUGGAUGAAACGUUGCGUUAUAUGGAAGAAAAGCACAAGUUAGAAAUACAAAUUAUGAAGCAGGAACACGAUCUUAGAAUGGAAAUUUUGAAGGAACAGUUAGGGAAAGAAAGAUUUUUGUAAGGAUCAGAAGAAAAGAAAAAUUGAGUUUUGCAAUUGGAUCAUGGCUGGUUUGUAAGGAAUUGCUGCGAGUUUCCAUAGUCGAUGCAUCUGUAAUAUCUUUCCUAACUCACUUAAUUCCCAGUCACUGCUACUUUCUUCGUUAGAUCUAUUCUUUUAUUUCUUUUGUUUUUUUGCAAUCUAGCAUUAUUCGUUUUAUUCUCUACUAGAUCACAAUUGUCGCUUACAAAUUGUACAUAUGAUUUUUCUUUGACAAAAAACUUUAGUAAAUAUUUUUUCCUAUGAUUAAUAAAAACUUUUUAUUUUUUUUUA
Molecule: long non-coding RNA, 773 nt
Organism: Cephus cinctus (wheat stem sawfly)
Lineage: Eukaryota; Metazoa; Arthropoda; Insecta; Hymenoptera; Cephidae
Exons: 2
Source: RefSeq, a predicted model, not a curated record